Molecule: ribosomal RNA, 588 nt
Filed under: Triticum aestivum (bread wheat)
Lineage: Eukaryota; Viridiplantae; Streptophyta; Magnoliopsida; Poales; Poaceae
Description: partial small subunit ribosomal RNA
Source: RNAcentral
AUGGCGGAUGCACCUCUUUACAAGCAGCGCCGCAGGUACACCAGGGAGCUCCACGACGUCGACCUCCACGGCAACCACAAGCUCCAAGUCGUUUGCACAAGCAAGGGUGAAGACGUGGACAGGAUGUUGUCCACGCUCAGGAGGAAGCUCGGCGUAAUGCCCGUCAAACUAGUCGGCGUUGAUGUCGAGUACACGCACUACGUGAAGCCACAGCGGGCAGCAGUGCUCCAGCUAUGUGUAGAAAAAGAAUGCCUUGUCUACCACAUCUCUGCAGCUAAAGACAGGCCAAUGGAACUAGACAAAUUCGUCAUGAAUGGUGAGUACACCUUCGUCGGAUUCGCCAUUAAAGGAGACAAAAGCAAGCUGAAGCUAUCUGGUUUGGAGAUCAACUCCGACAACUACAUUGAUAUUCAGGUGGAAUGGAGAGACCCAUACAAUAAAAAGAAGUUUGACUCUUUAGCUGAUGUUGUCGGCAGGAUGAUAGACAUUCACUACCAUGACAUGAAGAAAAAAUUAACCGCAAGGAGGACCAUACUCUGUGGGGAUUUUGCCCACUGCCAGAAAAGCUUAUCAAGUAUGCAGCAAUAG